GAUGAACGCUGGCGGCGUGCCUAAUACAUGCAAGUCGAGCGAACAGAUGAGGAGCUUGCUCCUCUGACGUUAGCGGCGGACGGGUGAGUAACACGUGGAUAACCUACCUAUAAGACUGGGAUAACUUCGGGAAACCGGAGCUAAUACCGGAUAAUAUAUUGAACCGCAUGGUUCAAUAGUGAAAGACGGUUUUGCUGUCACUUAUAGAUGGAUCCGCGCCGCAUUAGCUAGUUGGUAAGGUAACGGCUUACCAAGGCAACGAUGCGUAGCCGACCUGAGAGGGUGAUCGGCCACACUGGAACUGAGACACGGUCCAGACUCCUACGGGAGGCAGCAGUAGGGAAUCUUCCGCAAAGGGCGAAAGCCUGACGGAGCAACGCCGCGUGAGUGAUGAAGGUCUUCGGAUCGUAAAACUCUGUUAUUAGGGAAGAACAAAUGUGUAGGUAACUAUGCACGUCUUGACGGUACCUAAUCAGAAAGCCACGGCUAACUACGUG
This 497-nucleotide ribosomal RNA is filed under the name uncultured bacterium. RNAcentral's name for it is "partial 16S ribosomal RNA". It matches the Rfam family "Bacterial small subunit ribosomal RNA", at positions 28 to 507 of the family's 1533-position model. The record is from RNAcentral.